GAUGAACGCUAGCGGCAGGCCUAAUACAUGCAAGUCGAACGGUUAUAGGAAUUAGUAAUAGUUUUUAUGAUAGUGGCGCACGGGUGCGUAACGCGUAUGCAACCUACCUUCAAUUGGGGGAUAACUCUGGGAAACUGGAAUUAAUACCGCAUAAGAUAGUAAUGCUUCAUGGCAUAGCUAUUAAAGAUUUAUCGAUUGAAGAUGGGCAUGCGUGACAUUAGUUAGUUGGUGAGGUAACGGCUCACCAAGACGACGAUCUGUAGCGGGUCUGAGAGGAUGAUCCGCCACACUGGGACUGAGACACGGCCCAGACUCCUACGGGAGGCAGCAGUGGGGAAUUUUGGACAAUGGGGGGCGAACCCUGAUCCAGCCAUGCCGCGUGAGUG
RNAcentral lists this ribosomal RNA (386 nucleotides) under uncultured bacterium. RNAcentral describes it as "bacterial SSU rRNA". It matches the Rfam family "Bacterial small subunit ribosomal RNA", at positions 28 to 407 of the family's 1533-position model. The record is from RNAcentral.